UAAAGAGAGAUGGAUUCAUGAGGAGAGCUCAGCCGAACGGUUUCCACCGCUGCGUAACAAUGUCCGCGUUGGUCGCCGUCGAACUUUAGAAUAAAGCUGGGUGAUGGUCUACUACAAAGAAUCCAUAUCAGAUUCUUUCAAGGCGCCGCCACAGCGGCUGGGGCAGGGUGUCGUCGAGCAUCUCAUGGCGACAUGUUGAAAGCUUGGGCGCAGUAGUAGACUACCAGAUGUGGAGGGCAAUCCUCAAACAAGGACAAAAAACAACCCAGGAAGCUCUGGUCCACUAUUGAUGACGUCGAGAGUUUGAGCAAGGUAGAAACAAGUCCAGACACGUCUUCGUUCACAAACAGGGGGGGUGACGAUGGAGGCGUGCCGGAACAACACCGGUGACAGAAAUUCCGCCGGUAGCUGCGAAAUUCCAAGAAGGUGGCAGACUAUUCUCGGCGGCGAAAUAGUAACAGAUUCAUUGGCGGUUGAUAAGCUAAAGUGGCAUAGGAAGAUGGAACAAAUGCAUAAAAGUGGAAGUGUAAGACAAAUUUGCAUAGUGGAUGCAUAAAUGGCUUUGGUGGAUGUGCAUAAAAUGACAAAAGACAAAAAUAAAUUAUAUGAUGAUGAUGGAAACAUGUGGAGGAUUUUAUGGCCAAAAAGCAUAAAGCAAAAGCAAAAGAUGGCAUAAAAUCAGGGAUGGUGGACUGCAGCACAUUUCGGCUAGCUGGAUUUUUGGAGCGAGAAAAUUCCUUCUCGACGCGUCGAGAGUGUCCAGUACGCAGCAGAAUUCAUUCUCGACGCGUCGAGAAUGUCUCUCGACGCGUCGAGAAUGUCUCUCGACGCGUCGGGAAUCCAGCCCGGGGCGCGAAUCAACUUUGCAAAAUUCCAGUUUUGCCCCUUCUUUUGCCCAACUAUAAAUACUCCUCAUUUCUCCAUUCUUCAACAUCUAAUUUUUUUUAGUCUAGAUUAGUCCCUUCCCCUCUUCUCUUAAUCCUUUUCUUCUCCUUUCAAAAUGUAGACCUCCAAGUGAGGAUUGAGGAUUGUUUAGUAGUGUAGGAGUAGAUUAGGAUUUAUUUUGUAAUAAGAAGAGGGAUGAUGCAAGAUUAGGAGCUACAACCGUUGGAACGAGGAGAAAGCGAUGAGAAUUUCUUUCCCUUAUUUCCUUUACUUAUCUUGAAUUAAUCUUGUAUCUAGAUGCUUGUUCUUAAUAUAUUUGGAUUAUGGAUUGUGUUUAUGUCUA
Molecule: long non-coding RNA, 1228 nt
Organism: Ipomoea triloba (trilobed morning glory)
Lineage: Eukaryota; Viridiplantae; Streptophyta; Magnoliopsida; Solanales; Convolvulaceae
Exons: 2
Source: RefSeq, a predicted model, not a curated record